CAAAGGGCAAUCAGCCAUGUC
RNAcentral lists this microRNA (21 nucleotides) under Ananas comosus (pineapple). Its description in RNAcentral is "microRNA s1235_c025b". Lineage: Eukaryota; Viridiplantae; Streptophyta; Magnoliopsida; Poales; Bromeliaceae. The record is from RNAcentral.